UACGUAGGGACCGAGCGUUGUCCGGAAUCAUUGGGCGUAAAGAGCGUGUAGGCGGCCACUUAAGUCCUGCGUGAGAUCCUGCGGCUCAACCGCAGGCGGUCGUGGGAAACUGGGUGGCUAGAGUGCGGGAGAGGAGAGUGGAAUUCCUGGUGUAGCGGUGGAAUGCGCAGAUAUCGGGAAGAACACCCGUGGCGAAGGCGGCCCUCUGGGACGGUACUGACGCUGAGACGCGAAAGCGUGGGGAGCGAACAGG
This 253-nucleotide ribosomal RNA is filed under the name uncultured bacterium. RNAcentral describes it as "partial 16S ribosomal RNA". It matches the Rfam family "Bacterial small subunit ribosomal RNA", at positions 524 to 776 of the family's 1533-position model. The record is from RNAcentral.